AAGCAUACAGCCUUAUACAUCCACGACAAAGAAAUAUUUUACAUACGACAAAAAAAAAGAAGAAAAUUUUUACAUAUCCAAGUUGUGGGCCCAAAACGAAUUCUGUGUGGAAGCCAUUCCAGAUGGCCUGAAAUUGGGCCUGAAUAAUCGUCUAGGCCCUCGAUUUUUUUGAACAUGUGAAUUUUUUUUUAAUUAAAAAUUCAAAAAGACACGGUGUCAAGCAGCUGAAGAGAGUUGAUUGUCUUUUAUAUAAGAUAAUAAAGUUAAAUUAAGAAACUUAUUUAAAAAUUUAUGUUUUUUUUAAGUAUAUUGGAGAAAUCCAAAUAGAUUUUUUUAAAAAAAAUAUUUUUAAUUCAUAUCUAAAGAGACUCAUAGUUUGUAAUCUAAACCAUACUUUGUAAUUUUCAUAAUUUAGAAAAUGUUUUAAAUUCUUACAGAUCAAACUGAGUAAGAAAAUAGAGGGGAAAAAAAAACUUGGUUUAACUAGUUGUGUUGCUUCAAUAAACAAAUUAAAACAAACAGCCGAUGAUUUUUUAACUAGUUGUGUUGCUUAAUCAUCAGGCUUAUCCACGUGCAGUUGUUUCUUCUUACCUAAGAAACACAGGUAAACCAGCAAAAUCUGAUCAUUUCAGAAACAGAGACAUGCUUAAGCUUAAGAACAAAUAGUCCACAAGUUCUAUAAACCAAAAAGAAACCAACAUAUAAAGACGAAUCAAGAAAAUAGAGUGAAUGUGUGUACCUGUCUUCUUUUUGCCAGCAG
Molecule: long non-coding RNA, 760 nt
Filed under: Eutrema salsugineum
Lineage: Eukaryota; Viridiplantae; Streptophyta; Magnoliopsida; Brassicales; Brassicaceae
Description: long non-coding RNA (ESAL_LNC001310)
Source: RNAcentral